GUAAAGAAGAGCUUAUGCUCUUUUACAACAUUUGAAUAAAACAAAUUACUUUAAAGUAAAGAAGAGCUUAUGCACUUUUACAACAUUUGAAUAAAACAAAUUACUUUCAAGUAAAGAAGAGCUUAUGCUCUUUUACAACAUUUGAUCAAAUCAAAUUACAACCAAAAUCUAAUCUACACAUUCCCAUGGUUCAAACAAAUUUGAAACGGCCUUUCACAUAGCUCAAUUAUCGUAGACUUAGGUUCAUAAUCACCCUUUAAUUAAUUAACACUUUAACUAAUUAAAUUGAAUGCAGCAUUUUCAUUUGGUUUUUGUAUCCAUAAAAUUGAUUUAAAUGAAGCUAAAUGAAAUGAAAAUCCAAUUCUCAUUUAAAGAGACAAAACAAUUUUGUUCUCAACUUAAUUUGGGCCAAAAUGCAAUAACCUCAACUUUUGGGCUAUAUUGCAAAAGCAUAAACUUUUGGGGUCACUUUGUAAAAAACACAAAAGUCCACUACUUCAUGUAAUUACAACUAGAACCCAAAAAUUUCAACAAAUGCAAAA
RNAcentral lists this long non-coding RNA (542 nucleotides) under Malus domestica (apple). RNAcentral describes it as "long non-coding RNA (MDOM_LNC012840)". Lineage: Eukaryota; Viridiplantae; Streptophyta; Magnoliopsida; Rosales; Rosaceae. The record is from RNAcentral.